Molecule: ribosomal RNA, 216 nt
Filed under: Glomeromycotina sp.
Lineage: Eukaryota; Fungi; Glomeromycota
Description: partial small subunit ribosomal RNA
Rfam family: Eukaryotic small subunit ribosomal RNA (bases 40-216)
Source: RNAcentral
CGGUCAGGUGGUUGGUCGUGCCACCGGUACGUACUGGUCUCACUGAUUCCUCCUUCCUGAAGAACCGUAAUGCCAUUAAUUUGGUGUUGCGGGGAAACAGGACUGUUACUUUGAAAAAAUUAGAGUGUUUAAAGCAAGCUAACGCUUGAAUACAUUAGCAUGGAAUAAUGAAAUAGGACGAUCGAUCCUAUUUUGUUGGUUUCUAGGAUUGACGUA